This 253-nucleotide ribosomal RNA is filed under the name uncultured bacterium. RNAcentral's name for it is "partial 16S ribosomal RNA". It matches the Rfam family "Bacterial small subunit ribosomal RNA", at positions 524 to 776 of the family's 1533-position model. The record is from RNAcentral.
UACGAAGGGUGCAAACGUUGCUCGGAAUUAUUGGGCGUAAAGCGCACGUAGGCGGCAUUGCAAGUCGGAUGUGAAAUCCCUCGGCUUAACCAAGGAAGUGCAUCCGAAACUGCAGUGCUUGAGUACUUAAGAGGAUCGCGGAAUUCCCGGUGUAGAGGUGAAAUUCGUAGAGAUCGGGAGGAACACCAGUGGCGAAGGCGGCCGGCUGGGGGUGACCUGACGCUGAGGCGCGAAAGCGUGGGGAGCGAACCGG